UAAUACGUAGGGCGCAAGCGUUGCCCGGAAUUAUUGGGCGUAAAGAGCUCGUAGGCGGCUUGUCACGUCGGGUGUGAAAGCCCGGGGCUUAACCCCGGGUCUGCAUUCGAUACGGGCUAGCUAGAGUGUGGUAGGGGAGAUCGGAAUUCCUGGUGUAGCGGUGAAAUGCGCAGAUAUCAGGAGGAACACCGGUGGCGAAGGCGGAUCUCUGGGCCAUUACUGACGCUGAGGAGCGAAAGCGUGGGGAGCGAACAGGAUUAGAUACCCUGGUAGUCCACGCCGUAAACGGUGGGAACUAGGUGUUGGCGACAUUCCACGUCGUCGGUGCCGCAGCUAACGCAUUAAGUUCCCCGCCUGGGGAGUACGGCCGCAAGGC
This 376-nucleotide ribosomal RNA is filed under the name uncultured bacterium. RNAcentral's name for it is "bacterial SSU rRNA". It matches the Rfam family "Bacterial small subunit ribosomal RNA", at positions 521 to 894 of the family's 1533-position model. The record is from RNAcentral.